UGUUGCUGAAGAGAAGAUUUGUGCGAGUUUUUUUGUUUAGUGGUAUAGCUAGCUAUAUAUUUGUUUUGCCGUUUGUUAUUGCUAAUUUUUAUAAGCUAUCACAUUUUCUGUUACUUUUGAUUUUCUAAGCAUAGCCAAAUUUAGCUAGCUUAAAAACUUUAUUCCAAUAUUUAAAUUGACAAGGCAACGAAAUUUUUACUCACAAGAGUAUAAAAUUUUCUAGUUUGUUUUGACCUAAAAUAUAUAAAUUUCAAAUAUGAUUUUAUAUUAGAGAGAGCGUGAAAUAGUAUAUAGUAUUUUAUAUAUAUAUAAAGACGAAUUUCAUUGUUAACAUUUUCAGUGAUAGCUAGCUCUUUCAUCUGUAGCUAGCAUUUUGUGGUAGGGAAAAACAAGGGGGUGCUAGAGGUGAAGCAAAGUAAAAGUUAGUCUAUUUCUUCACACAAAUGCAUUCUUAAGGACUCCCAAUUCAAAAUAAAUCAGAAGGCUUCAACCUAAGCUCGAUUCCCACUGUGAUGUAAGUGUGUUUUAAGUAUGUUUUAAAUAAGAUUUUAAACGAGGGUGUCGAUAAGCCGUAUACGCCGUAAAAAGUGCGGGCGUUUUCGGGCAAGUUCGGCGUUUUGAAAAAAAUAUAAGGAUUCGCCUGAAAAAACCCGCAUAGGCCCGAAUAAUGCCCCAAAAAGAAAAAAAACCAGACACUAAUGUGAUUCAAAAAAACUAUAAAAAUUAAAAUAAACUUACAUGUUGUAAUGAAGUUCUUAAAAGAACUGUUUUUGAUGGUUUUUGAUAAAGUUUACUUUAUAAAUAACUUAUAUAUAAACUAUAUUAACUCCUUUCUCUUCAAGCGCCUUCUUCCCAAAUAUCGUCCGCAUGGUUUGUUACAAGGAAUUGCAUUUCGGGAAUGUUCCGGGCGAUUUCGGGAAAGUGCGGGCGAUUUCGGGGGGCAAACGCCAAUUUUAUUCAAAAAGUUGCCCGUAUAUAUGCGGCCGUUUGCAGCUUAUCGGCACCCUCUUGAUUUUAAAGUUAACGCAUAAUGUGAACAUGUUCGUUUUUAAAAAUUUUCCGCUUAAAAUCUGUUUAAACCACAGAUAAAAUAAAACCUUAGAUCAAAAAAUUUUGAUAUUGGGGUUUAAAGUUUAAAGGCGCCGACAAAUGCUGAAGGAGUUUUCAACGCUUAUAGGGCACAUUUUGUGCAUUUUCACGCUAAGACAAAAAAGAGAAUAAAAAAUGGCAGAAAAAAAAACUAAGUUUGGUACAAGAAGAGAAUCUUAGCGUACUUAUUCGCCAAUAUCCAGUGAUUUUUGAUAAAUCACACAAAGACCUCCCUUCACCAAAUCCUAACAUCUUUUUUCCUGCUAAGCAAAUACUAUAGCCAAGGAGGUUACCGCUGAAAAGUAAAACAACGACACACUGGAAUCCAUCUUUUUGAAAUUAGUAAGGUAGCUAUAAAUAAUUGAUUUGUAGAUAGCAUGCAAAUUGUUGCACUAUUACUAAAAAGUAUCUUAAAUAAUAUGUAGCAUAUCUGUGAUCUACUCCAGCUGUUGUCUAUUGUCUGUUCUUUAAAGUGCACAAGUCUCGGUGCUGGUGAAAACGGUAAUAUGGUAUCCUGCAGUGUUGCCAGUCGAGAGAAAAGUGAAAUCAUGGAAUUAGGAUUUUCAUGUAAUAUAAAGAUAUAGCUAACUCUUAACUUUUACCAGUUUAUGGUUUAAUGUAGCUUAUUUUGGAACGUUUUUGUUGAUACUAUGUAGAAUGCAAACAUUUCAUUUAUUUGACUUUCUUGGUGUAAUUUAAAGGACGUAGAAAAAAGCCAAAAGCUUUUAUUAACUGUGGUAGCUGUUAUUCACAUGUGCAGAUCUAUUUCGAGGAAUUGUUUGGUAUUGCAACAUGAUCAAAAUUAACUCAACUGCGACUUAUAAAUAUUUUGGCAUAUUUCUAAUAUUUCUAUUUCAAUAUUUCUAUUUCGAGGAAAUUAAAGUAGUAGAAAUAAAGGAGGCCUAUCAAUAAGGUGAGAGAAAUUGCUUAUGCAAGGGCUCCCCCAACUUUUCUGGCUGAGCAAUAUCAAUUUAUCUCACAUGGAAAUUAAUGGAGAUAAAAUAAAAUAGAUAAAAAAGACUUAAGAUAAAAUAUGCGUUUAUUAACUUAUUCACCCUGUUUAAAUUAUUGUAACCCUGGGGGAUCAAUUUAUUGCUCUGGUGUUAUUUUCUUAUUGAUAGGCCUGAUAAAGGUAGGGACUUAAAUGGAAUCAGCAUGUAAAUGUAAAGGAGUUGAACAGCGUAACUGAAUAAUUGCGAAUAAUAGAAUUAAUUUACAUAAAUUUAAAUAAGUUGAAAAAGCAAUCGUGGAGACAAGUUAUUUAUAUAUUGCGCAACUAUAUGAUGUGUUAAGUUAUAUACAAGUUAUGUAUUUUUAAGGAGGUUCAGGCACUUUGUGUGUGAAAAAGUGUAGCAAAAAAAAAAUAGUACUAUUCAGAUAAGUGGAGACAUUUAUAUACUGAAAGUUUAUGCUAUAUAUUUAGAUCUAAAUAUAUACUAAAGAGAAGGAGUGGUAGCCGGUGGUUGGACAUGCACAAGUAUUACAUACAUGAGCAUCGCAUACAUGGACAUUACAUACACGACUAUUACAUAUAUCAGUGUUGCAUUUUUGGUCACCUUUCAUAUAAUGUAACAACUCGUAUCUCUAAAAACGCUUAGUUGUAUUUUAUGUGAAACUUUGCAUAUUGUAUAGAUAUUAUAUUAUGUAUAUUAACUUUUAUGUUGUACUUCUGCCAUUGGAAGAUGUUUUUACCUAAAGUAUACCUACACCGUUAUCCCUAUUCUCGAAUAUAUUAAAUUAGUGUAGCAUCGACCACAUCUGCCUAAAAGUCGAAAUUAUUAAAAACGAAUUCACUGUCAAAUUAUCUAUUAAAAUACGAAUUAGCUGGUUUUGAAGAAAAUAUAAUUGAAUAUAUGGUGUUUGGUAUUGCAACAUGAUCAAAAUUAACUCAACUGCGACUUAUAAAUAUUUCGGCACGGUUGUAUAGAUCAAAACUUUGACAUGGAUAAGAACUUCCACUUAACCUACAAGAAAAGAAAGCAAGAAAGUAUCGAAAAUACGAUUGUUGGAAGCAUCUAGAUCCUGUUUAACGAAGGAAGAAGUGUUUUUGUUACGUUAUGUUAAGAUCUUAACUGUUUUAAGACAAUAACUGGGAUUGACUGAUCGAGAACAAUUAAUAGAAGAGUAGCAGUAAUGUCGGAUGAGAAACACGAGUUUUUUCUUUACAUAUAUAACCACACUAUCCGUCCUUUUUUUACACAACAUUAAAAAUAUUUUGAAUACAUAUAUUUAUAUAUAUGUGUGUAUUGGGUUUUGUUAUCAGUACACAAUAUAAAAGAAAUAAAUUAUUA
Long non-coding RNA from Hydractinia symbiolongicarpus, 3380 nucleotides. RefSeq lists it as uncharacterized. The transcript has 2 exons. Lineage: Eukaryota; Metazoa; Cnidaria; Hydrozoa; Anthoathecata; Hydractiniidae. The record is from RefSeq and is a predicted model, not a curated record.